This is a long non-coding RNA of Jatropha curcas, 708 nucleotides long. RefSeq lists it as uncharacterized. NCBI's taxonomy places the organism in Eukaryota, Viridiplantae, Streptophyta, Magnoliopsida, Malpighiales, Euphorbiaceae. The record is from RefSeq and is a predicted model, not a curated record.
CUCCCAUAGAAGGAAGCGAACUUCGAGCAGAGGGUAAUGGAAAUGCACUAGUAGAUUGCUGAAUGAUGUUUAGUGAGCUAAAAGGGUCUUCGCUACCAAAGCCAUUGGCAUCUCCUUGUGGCCUGCUGUAAUUGUAAAAAGUAGAUACUGAUCUCAAAGCCAAACAAGCUCAUUGCAUGUAGAAGCCGCUUUAAGAAAAAUGGAUAUGAAGUAAGACAACAGAGGACAAAAAUGUUACCUAGAAGAUGGUGUGUUCAUAUGGAGUAGUUGUUGUCCCAUGUAUGCACCUGGAUGUUAGAAUUGAAAUUAAGCAAAUUGGUGGAUUAGUUAGAAGAAUAGGAAAAGUAAAAUUAAAUUUACCAGAAGAAGUGGCUGAUCUGAAGGAAGAAGACCACAAAGGCGUUACAGAUGCAUAAGCUGGUGCUUGAGAUGCCAUGAACCCAGAAGAGUUUGUGUCAAUGCUGUAAGUAGGCACUAAAGCACCGGUAUUGGACGUGUUAGUAAGUCCUGCAAACUUCAAUAAGCAAUAAAUGCUUAACACAAGUUUUUCAAGCUUUGGUUAGAAAUUUUAUUUUUGGAGAGACAAAAAGCACUCAAGCAUAGCACUUAGAUACAGAAAUUCGAAAAAAAAAAUACGAGCACAUAAAUCAAUUGCUAAAUGUGUGAACAAAUGGGUAUUAUGAUAUAUAAAUUUUACUUCUUGAUCUA